GAACGCUGGCGGCGUGCCUAAUACAUGCAAGUCGAGCGAGCGGAACUAACAGAUUUACUUCGGUAAUGACGUUAGGAAAGCGAGCGGCGGAUGGGUGAGUAACACGUGGGGAACCUGCCCCAUAGUCUGGGAUACCACUUGGAAACAGGUGCUAAUACCGGAUAAGAAAGCAGAUCGCAUGAUCAGCUUUUAAAAGGCGGCGUAAGCUGUCGCUAUGGGAUGGCCCCGCGGUGCAUUAGCUAGUUGGUAAGGUAAAGGCUUACCAAGGCGAUGAUGCAUAGCCGAGUUGAGAGACUGAUCGGCCACAUUGGGACUGAGACACGGCCCAAACUCCUACGGGAGGCAGCAGUAGGGAAUCUUCCACAAUGGACGCAAGUCUGAUGGAGCAACGCCGCGUGAGUGAAGAAGGUUUUCGGAUCGUAAAGCUCUGUUGUUGAUGAAGAAGGAUAGAGGUAGUAACUGGCCUUUAUUUGACGGUAAUCAACCAGAAAGUCACGGCUAACUACGUGCCAGCAGCCGCGGUAAUACGUAGGUGGCAAGCGUUGUCCGGAUUUAUUGGGCGUAAAGCGAGCGCAGGCGGAAGAAUAAGUCUGAUGUGAAAGCCCUCGGCUUAACCGAGGAACUGCAUCGGAAACUGUUUUUCUUGAGUGCAGAAGAGGAGAGUGGAACUCCAUGUGUAGCGGUGGAAUGCGUAGAUAUAUGGAAGAACACCAGUGGCGAAGGCGGCUCUCUGGUCUGCAACUGACGCUGAGGCUCGAAAGCAUGGGUAGCGAACAGGAUUAGAUACCCUGGUAGUCCAUGCCGUAAACGAUGAGUGCUAAGUGUUGGGAGGUUUCCGCCUCUCAGUGCUGCAGCUAACGCAUUAAGCACUCCGCCUGGGGAGUACGACCGCAAGGUUGAAACUCAAAGGAAUUGACGGGGGCCCGCACAAGCGGUGGAGCAUGUGGUUUAAUUCGAAGCAACGCGAAGAACCUUACCAGGUCUUGACAUCUAGUGUCAUUUGUAGAGAUACAAAGCUCCCUUCGGGGACGCUAAGACAGGUGGUGCAUGGCUGUCGUCAGCUCGUGUCGUGAGAUGUUGGGUUAAGUCCCGCAACGAGCGCAACCCUUGUUAUUAGUUGCCAGCAUUAAGUUGGGCACUCUAAUGAGACUGCCGGUGACAAACCGGAGGAAGGUGGGGAUGACGUCAAGUCAUCAUGCCCCUUAUGACCUGGGCUACACACGUGCUACAAUGGGCAGUACAACGAGAAGCGAGCCUGCGAAGGCAAGCGAAUCUCUGAAAGCUGUUCUCAGUUUGGACUGCAGUCUGCAACUCGACUGCACGAAGCUGGAAUCGCUAGUAAUCGCGGAUCAGCACGCCGCGGUGAAUACGUUCCCGGGCCUUGUACACACCGCCCGUCACACCAUGGGAGUCUGCAAUGCCCAAAGCCGGUGGCCUAACCUUCGGGAAGGAGCCGUCUAAGGCAGGGCAGAUGACUGGGGUG
Molecule: ribosomal RNA, 1483 nt
Filed under: uncultured organism
Description: SSU rRNA
Rfam family: Bacterial small subunit ribosomal RNA
Source: RNAcentral